The submitters of this non-coding RNA (571 nucleotides) gave its source as unclassified sequences. The record is from Rfam.
GAUUUUAAACAAUCUACUGAAUAACCAAGUGUAGAUAGGGUGACACCUUGCUUGGAUUGUAUACAUAAUUCCCGUUACGCUCUCCGUGAGAUAUUGCGGAGGGAUAAGUAAUUCUCUUUUGAGUAAUUGAAAGAGAUCAUGAAGUGUAAGAAGAUUGAGGGUGUAUGCAGUAUAGAGGUUGUGCGUAAUUAGACCAUUAUCAGACGGUGGCGGUGAUAAUAGACGCUUUCGGUGAAAGAAUAAUCUGGGGUAGGCCUUGCGUAGCAGUAAGAACUGAACCAGAAAUGCUAAAAUAAACCGUUUUGCACUUGAGGCCGAGGGAUCGGCCAAUAACACCAAAGAUAAGUACAAGUAGCCCAAAGUGUGCAGAUAAAACAUUUGGAUAUGUUUAUGCUUAAAAUAUAUUUCUGAAUGACGGGUGAAAGUUGGACGUAACCAGUCGUGCCUAGUCAUUUAAUCGCUACGGAAGUUAUAGGGUCGCUCCUUAUGGCUCAGACCGUGGUAGGCUAUCGGUCAAUAAAUUGCGUACAAUCGAAGUAGAGCGAAGGCUCAUUUAGUUGAUUGUUUAAAG